GUAUGGCACAAUAAUUCUGCAUUGAAUCAGUUGAUUCAAUUGCUUAUUCUUUAGGGUUCAAACCCUUUGUUCUCCCCCUGGGGUGAGAGAUCCCUGAUGGUCACAUCUGUCUUUCAGGCUGUGUGCCAGCCUCUCACACAAAUAUAUCCUGCAGCCAGCCCAGCUCAGGGAGCGGUGGGACAGGUGAUCUCAUCCUGUCAAACCAAGCGGCAUGGGUCUCAUUGAGGCUCAUACAGAAGAUCCCAUGCAUCUCCUGGAGGUAAGAACCGUUCACUCUUCCUGCCACUUGGGGCUCUUGCAACAAACAGGACACUCUUGCUACAUAUCUUGGUUGGGAGCUUUCCCUAUCCCUGGAUCCCAGCCCUGGUACAGAGACCUAUUUCUCAUCAUGAUAUCCUCACGUUAUUCUCAGAGGAUGUAUCCAGGAUCCUGGAGAAUAUUUUCUGCAGGAGGUUUGAGCGGGGAAGAGAUGACUCACUUUCACGACCCAGGGGUCUUCAACCCAGGUCUGCAGGGUUCAUGGGAGAAGCCACAGUGCAACCCUCCGCCUGACAGCCUACUGGAAAUUGCUUACCUAGGACCCAUGAAGUUCAUCCCCAGUUUGAGGCUCCACUCCUGAAGUCCUAUUGGAGAAGUCCCAGAGAAGCUAAUUGGCCCCCUGGCCCUGCUUAAGGCAGCAGCAGAAACAGGAAGCUGACUGAAGACCGGAGCUGCUCCAUGUUCUGGACCGUUUGCUGCCUGUUUCUGCUGCCAUUCCCCUGGCUUGAUUUCCUGGCAUCUGAUUUGUGGUUGUGAUCGCAAGUUUGUCUUUUGCUUCUGAUCUUCCAGUAUCCUGACCCAGCUGACUCUCGACUCCUGUCAUGGCUCCCUAUCUGUCUUGGAGCUGAACCCCAGAUGGGAGCUGAUAGAUUGUCCUUGGUGGGCUAUGUUCUUGUGUGUGAUGGAGCUGUGUGCCAGAGAGGGCCAGGAGCAGAUGCACCACACAUGGCCAGGACCAGGCUAAACAGCCUGUAAUACUAGACAGUCAGUCCCUGAGACCAGUUUGCAGAAUGUGGAAGAGCCCUUUGGCGAUGUGUUGGAGGAUUCCCCAUGUAGAUGGCAGCAGCUGCAGUGUCUUGGAUCCCCAUGGGCCAAGCCUCCACUCCUGACACUGAAGGCUAAUCUCCCACUGCUCUCAGUGGGGCUUGGCUUUAGGUGCUGGGCCUGCGUGCCUUGACAGAGGACUCAGGUAUUUCCAUCAGGCUGCUCAAUGGCAAAUGCAGCCAUACCAUCCACAGAACUCAAGAAUGGAAGUGAAAGAGCAGAGCUGGACCAUCUGCUGCAAUCAAGUCAGCAGAGCCGGGGAGAGAAGAGGGAGAAUUCGAAGGUGGCUGGCUGCUGUAGGGAAGAAAAGCCCUUUGGGAGCCAGGGGAGUUGAAAUAAAGAGUUAAUGAUGAAUACUGCAGGCUUUAUCUUGUGUGGUGAAGGGCUCUCUUUACUAUCACACUAACCUUUAAAAUAGCUGUGUCUGAUGAAAGGGCAGAUCUA
Molecule: long non-coding RNA, 1527 nt
Organism: Gopherus flavomarginatus (Mexican gopher tortoise)
Lineage: Eukaryota; Metazoa; Chordata; Testudines; Testudinidae
Exons: 3
Source: RefSeq, a predicted model, not a curated record